GGAGAGGUGGCCGAGUGGCUUAAGGCGGUGGUUUGCUAAACCGCUGUACGGUGUAAAGCUGUACCUAGGGUUCAAAUCCCUACCUCUCCG
Molecule: transfer RNA, 90 nt
Filed under: Candidatus Omnitrophota bacterium
Lineage: Bacteria; Pseudomonadati; Candidatus Omnitrophota
Description: Candidatus Omnitrophica bacterium tRNA-Ser
Rfam family: tRNA
About the family: Transfer RNA (tRNA) molecules are approximately 80 nucleotides in length. Their secondary structure includes four short double-helical elements and three loops (D, anti-codon, and T loops). Further hydrogen bonds mediate the characteristic L-shaped molecular structure. tRNAs have two regions of fundamental functional importance: the anti-codon, which is responsible for specific mRNA codon recognition, and the 3' end, to which the tRNAs corresponding amino acid is attached (by aminoacyl-tRNA synthetases). tRNAs cope with the degeneracy of the genetic code in two manners: having more than one tRNA (with a specific anti-codon) for a particular amino acid; and 'wobble' base-pairing, i.e. permitting non-standard base-pairing at the 3rd anti-codon position.
Source: RNAcentral